UCUUCCGAUCUGAUCAAGGAACUUGCAUACAAUGAAUAUAUAUUAUUUUGUCAAUAGAUGGCGCCACAUUCCAACCAGUGAUGAUUACUAAAUGACAGAGCCAUAACAAUCUUGGCAUAGAUUGCCGACCUCUAUAACAUAUGAUUGUAGAGAAACAGGCCAAGCGCGGACCCCAUGAAAGAAUUUUCUAAGGGGCGGGAUUCUAUAAUCGAUCCCAGAUCUUCUAGAGUGGAAAGCGGAAACGUUUCCUCACGGCCAAUUCGGCCGACCGAGGGAUGUAUAUUUGACGGAACCACUUUUAGAGUCUAUUGUAGAUUGGCCAACAUUAUGGGAUCAACCGAAAAACUAAAGAUUGAGGUCCAGUGGCAGUCCCGAAUUCCUCCUGAAUAUACUGGAGGUGUGCCAGUUUUGAACCCGGAAUCUCUAAGAUAGUAAGUGAAUGCUUUAUCAAGCGGCUGUCCGACUGACAUCUAAAUUAUGAUAUAUAUAAAUAUAUACACAUACAGAUAAAAUAUGUAUUAAUUUACUUCAAUAAAUAAACUCUUAAAAAUAAUAAAAAUUGACUCUUAAUU
This 572-nucleotide long non-coding RNA is filed under the name Androctonus crassicauda. The record is from RNAcentral. Lineage: Eukaryota; Metazoa; Arthropoda; Arachnida; Scorpiones; Buthidae.